RNAcentral lists this ribosomal RNA (495 nucleotides) under uncultured bacterium. RNAcentral's name for it is "partial 16S ribosomal RNA". It matches the Rfam family "Bacterial small subunit ribosomal RNA", at positions 28 to 507 of the family's 1533-position model. The record is from RNAcentral.
GACGAACGCUGGCGGCGUGCCUAAUACAUGCAAGUAGAACGCUGAAGGAGGAGCUUGCUCUUCUGGAUGAGUUGCGAACGGGUGAGUAACGCGUAGGUAACCUGCCUGGUAGCGGGGGAUAACUAUUGGAAACGAUAGCUAAUACCGCAUAAGAGUAGAUGUUGCAUGACAUUUACUUAAAAGGUGCAAUUGCAUCACUACCAGAUGGACCUGCGUUGUAUUAGCUAGUUGGUGGGGUAACGGCUUACCAAGGCGACGAUACAUAGCCGACCUGAGAGGGUGAUCGGCCACACUGGGACUGAGACACGGCCCAGACUCCUACGGGAGGCAGCAGUAGGGAAUCUUCGGCAAUGGACGGAAGUCUGACCGAGCAACGCCGCGUGAGUGAAGAAGGUUUUCGGAUCGUAAAGCUCGGUUGUAAGAGAAGAACGAGUGUGAGAGUGGAAAGUUCACACUGUGACGGUAUCUGACCAGAAAGGGACGGCUAACUACGUG